UACGUAGGGUGCGAGCGUUAAUCGGAAUUACUGGGCGUAAAGCGUGCGCAGGCGGCGGCCCAAGUCAGGCGUGAAAUCCCCGGGCUUAACCUGGGAAUUGCGCUUGAAACUAGGUCGCUAGAGUGUGGCAGAGGGGGGUGGAAUUCCACGUGUAGCAGUGAAAUGCGUAGAGAUGUGGAGGAACACCGAUGGCGAAGGCAGCCCCCUGGGUCAACACUGACGCUCAGGCACGAAAGCGUGGGGAGCAAACAGG
Molecule: ribosomal RNA, 253 nt
Filed under: uncultured bacterium
Lineage: Bacteria
Description: partial 16S ribosomal RNA
Rfam family: Bacterial small subunit ribosomal RNA
Source: RNAcentral